GCCUUGGUGGCGGAAUUGGUAGACGCGCGGGACUUAAAAUCCCGUGGGGUCAAACCCGUGCCGGUUCGACUCCGGCCCGAGGCACCA
Molecule: transfer RNA, 87 nt
Filed under: Mycoplasmatota bacterium
Lineage: Bacteria; Bacillati; Mycoplasmatota
Also listed under: 2 other names
Description: Tenericutes bacterium tRNA-Leu
Rfam family: tRNA
About the family: Transfer RNA (tRNA) molecules are approximately 80 nucleotides in length. Their secondary structure includes four short double-helical elements and three loops (D, anti-codon, and T loops).
Source: RNAcentral